This 738-nucleotide ribosomal RNA is filed under the name uncultured bacterium. RNAcentral describes it as "bacterial SSU rRNA". It matches the Rfam family "Bacterial small subunit ribosomal RNA", at positions 49 to 800 of the family's 1533-position model. The record is from RNAcentral.
CUACCAUGCAGUCGAACGAUUAAGGCACCUUCGGGUGCGUAUAGAGUGGCGAACGGCUGAGUAACACGUGGGCAACCUGCCCCCCUCUCCGGGACAGCCUCGGGAAACCGUGGUUAAUACCGGAUACUCCGCGACCCCCGCAUGGGGGGCGCGGGAAAGCCCAGACGGAGGGGGAUGGGCCCGCGGCCUGUUAGCUCGUUGGUGGGGCAACGGCCCACCAAGGCAACGAUGGGUAGCUGGGUUGAGAGACCGACCAGCCAGAUUGGGACUGAGACACGGCCCAGACUCCUACGGGAGGCAGCAGUGGGGAAUAUUGCGCAAUGGGCGAAAGCCUGACGCAGCGACGCCGCGUGCGGGACGAAGGCCUUCGGGUCGUAAACCGCUUUCAGCAGGGACGAGGCCGCGAGGUGACGGUACCUGCAGAAGAAGCCCCGGCUAACUACGUGCCAGCAGCCGCGGUAAUACGUAGGGGGCGAGCGUUAUCCGGAUUCAUUGGGCGUAAAGCGCUCGUAGGCGGUCCGUCUGGUCGGGUGUCAAAUCCGGGGGCUCAACCCCCGUUCGCAUCCGAUACCGGCGGACUUGAGUUUGGUAGGGGAAGGCGGAAUUCCAAGUGUAGCGGUGGAAUGCGCAGAUAUUUGGAAGAACACCGGUGGCGAAGGCGGCCUUCUGGGCCACAACUGACGCUGAGGAGCGAAAGCUAGGGGAGCGAACAGGAUUAGAUACCCUGGUAGUCCUAGC